GUUAGGAUGGUCGAGUGGUUUAAGGCAUAAAACUCAAGUUCUAAUCCUAUAAAGAGGACAUAGGUUAAAAUUCUAUUUCUAAUA
This 84-nucleotide transfer RNA is filed under the name Sphenostylis stenocarpa. RNAcentral's name for it is "tRNA gene-AYBTSS11_LOCUS27563". It matches the Rfam family "tRNA". Rfam says of the family: Transfer RNA (tRNA) molecules are approximately 80 nucleotides in length. Their secondary structure includes four short double-helical elements and three loops (D, anti-codon, and T loops). Lineage: Eukaryota; Viridiplantae; Streptophyta; Magnoliopsida; Fabales; Fabaceae. The record is from RNAcentral.